CUAGAUCCAAAAUUUCAUAAAUUUCUCUUCAAAAAUUAAGAAUAUAAAGCACUGAUUUCUUGGCAAUCCACUAGCAAUCCACUAGGCUUUUUUAAGAAAAAUGAAAAAAAGAGAGAGCAUAAAGUGGAAAAAUAAAGCCAAUAAUAUAUGAGAAAUUCAAGGCAAAAAAAACGUUCUCAAUGUUAAAUUCAAUCUAGAAAUCCAUUUUUUCCCAUAUUGCAUUACGAACCCUACUAAAAUCUCUUCCUUUUAGGGUUCUCCCAAGCCCUUCAUGCAAUGAGAAGGAAAUGGUCCUCGUCCUCGCCAUUUGCCUAGCUAAAAACUCAUGAGGCGGGACCCAAUUCUCCGAUCCUCUUCGUCGUCGUGGUCGUCCUCGAAAUCAUCCUCAUCAACGUCCCUCUGGCGAUUCACCUUGUACUUUUCCUUCAGUAUCUUUGAACAGUCCAAUAUAUUAACCGGCAGAGAUGCCGAUCCAUUGUCGGUAACUCCAUUCGUUGCCGAAGACUUCUUUCGAGAGAUUCUCGAAUUGGCUUUCUGGAACUCCGGCGAAAUCGAUUGAGAAGCCUUGUUCUAGAUAGCGGACUCGUCGAGCUUGAAGAUCAUUGAAUCUUUGGUAAGUAUCUGAUUGGUCAGUAGGAAUCUGUAGGUUUUUGAUGUCGCCAUUGGUUGAAAUCGUUGGGUUUUACUCCAAAAUCUCUCUGUAUGAAAAUGAAUGUAUCCAUGCACUAUGUGAUACUUUUUAAUGGGGGGUUUUGGUAUGCUUUUAUAAAGCCUUUAAAUGG
Molecule: long non-coding RNA, 782 nt
Filed under: Olea europaea subsp. europaea
Lineage: Eukaryota; Viridiplantae; Streptophyta; Magnoliopsida; Lamiales; Oleaceae
Source: RNAcentral